GCAAGUAACAGAAGACCUGUCCUGACCUCCAUGGUGUCCUUUUUAGUAUUUGAUGCUAAAACCAACAUCACAAUGCCUACGCCAAAGAGCAGCUGGAAACCGUGACUCUGAAGUCUCCUUCCCUCCUGAACUCUAUCAGUUUGAAUUUGGCUUAUAUUAUGUAUGAGGUCUCUUCAUCUCAGCUGCAUCACAGGCUUCCCUGAAGCCAGCGCUGUGCACCGUGACUCCGUGCGCCCUGUCCUCGCCGCGCUGGCCAAGCACUUGUUGGUCGGUUGGUGGCUGCUUGAUGAUUGCUGGGACUAUUUUUCCUUUCAGUUUAAAAAAAUGUAAUAGCAAAUAUAUAAAUCUGUCCGAAGACUCAACUUUUUUGGAUGUUUGGAAGAAGGGAUUUGGGAAUGAUUGACAUUGUUUAAGUACGUUCAUAACCACAAAGCACACCUACUGCAAAAAACAGACAAUGCCAUUCUAUGGCUUAGGACUCGUUCGGCCAAUGAGAGAAAACCAGGUCCAAACUGGCUUAAUCAACAGUGGAAUUUAUUGGUUGAACUAAUUGAAAAGCCCAGGAGGAGAGUGAGCUUCAAGUGCAGCUCAGAGCAGAAGCUUGAUCUAUACCAGCAGAACCUGGCUUUUCUCAGUCUCUCCCUCAGCUCCUUCCUUCCUGCUUGAAGACCUGUGGGAAAGGUUACCUGCCUCUUAAUCAGAAGCCUCAGCAAACACCCUGUCACAUCCUGUUGGCUCUAGUCGCAACACCUGCCUGGACCCAUCCCUGUAGACAAUGGAAUGUGAUUUUCUGAUUGGUUUAGAGCUGGGUCAUGUGCUCUACUCUUGAGUCAUAGGGUUGAGAAUGGAAAGAACAGAUUCUCUAAGAGAAAUCAGGGUUCAGUUACCAAAACAAAGUGGCAUGGAUGCUGGGUGGACAACCUCAGAUGUCCUCUGCCCCUGGAACCUACUUCACUGGGACAAGUCUUAAGAGAAUAGGAUACCCAUCCUCCUGUUCAUGGCCAACCUAUCUACCAGUUGUCUUGGCUCUGUCCAUAUAGUCCAGGAUCUAACUUCAUCAGUCAUGAUUAAUAUUUCAUGUAU
This is a long non-coding RNA of Manis javanica (Malayan pangolin), 1083 nucleotides long. RefSeq lists it as uncharacterized. NCBI's taxonomy places the organism in Eukaryota, Metazoa, Chordata, Mammalia, Pholidota, Manidae. The record is from RefSeq and is a predicted model, not a curated record.